RNAcentral lists this ribosomal RNA (253 nucleotides) under uncultured bacterium. RNAcentral's name for it is "partial 16S ribosomal RNA". It matches the Rfam family "Bacterial small subunit ribosomal RNA", at positions 524 to 776 of the family's 1533-position model. The record is from RNAcentral.
UACGGAGGGUGCAAGCGUUAUCCGGAUUCACUGGGUUUAAAGGGUGUGUAGGCGGGUCAUUAAGUCAGUGGUGAAAUCUCCAGGCUCAACCUGGAAACUGCCAUUGAUACUAUUGAUCUUGAAUUUUGUUGAGGUAGGCGGAAUAUAUCAUGUAGCGGUGAAAUGCUUAGAUAUGAUAUAGAACACCGAUUGCGAAGGCAGCUUACUAAGCAAAUAUUGACGCUGAGGCACGAAAGCGUGGGGAUCAAACAGG